UCUGAACCUUCGGGGAACGAUAACGGCGUCGAGCGGCGGACGGGUGAGUAAUGCCUAGGAAAUUGCCCUGAUGUGGGGGAUAACCAUUGGAAACGAUGGCUAAUACCGCAUGAUGCCUACGGGCCAAAGAGGGGGACCUUCGGGCCUCUCGCGUCAGGAUAUGCCUAGGUGGGAUUAGCUAGUUGGUGAGGUAAGGGCUCACCAAGGCGACGAUCCCUAGCUGGUCUGAGAGGAUGAUCAGCCACACUGGAACUGAGACACGGUCCAGACUCCUACGGGAGGCAGCAGUGGGGAAUAUUGCACAAUGGGCGCAAGCCUGAUGCAGCCAUGCCGCGUGUGUGAAGAAGGCCUUCGGGUUGUAAAGCACUUUCAGUCGUGAGGAAGGUGGUGUAGUUAAUAGCUGCAUUAUUUGACGUUAGCGACAGAAGAAGCACCGGCUAACUCCGUGCCAGCAGCCGCGGUAAUACGGAGGGUGCGAGCGUUAAUCGGAAUUACUGGGCGUAAAGCGCAUGCAGGUGGUUUGUUAAGUCAGAUGUGAAAGCCCGGGGCUCAACCUCGGAAUAGCAUUUGAAACUGGCAGACUAGAGUACUGUAGAGGGGGGUAGAAUUUCAGGUGUAGCGGUGAAAUGCGUAGAGAUCUGAAGGAAUACCGGUGGCGA
This 659-nucleotide ribosomal RNA is filed under the name Vibrio neocaledonicus. RNAcentral's name for it is "bacterial SSU rRNA". It matches the Rfam family "Bacterial small subunit ribosomal RNA", at positions 66 to 718 of the family's 1533-position model. Lineage: Bacteria; Pseudomonadati; Pseudomonadota; Gammaproteobacteria; Vibrionales; Vibrionaceae. The record is from RNAcentral.